Molecule: ribosomal RNA, 587 nt
Filed under: Escherichia coli
Lineage: Bacteria; Pseudomonadati; Pseudomonadota; Gammaproteobacteria; Enterobacterales; Enterobacteriaceae
Description: partial 23S ribosomal RNA
Rfam family: Bacterial large subunit ribosomal RNA
Source: RNAcentral
AGUAUGUGUGUUAGUGGAAGCGUCUGGAAAGGCGCGCGAUACAGGGUGACAGCCCCGUACACAAAAAUGCACAUGCUGUGAGCUCGAUGAGUAGGGCGGGACACGUGGUAUCCUGUCUGAAUAUGGGGGGACCAUCCUCCAAGGCUAAAUACUCCUGACUGACCGAUAGUGAACCAGUACCGUGAGGGAAAGGCGAAAAGAACCCCGGCGAGGGGAGUGAAAAAGAACCUGAAACCGUGUACGUACAAGCAGUGGGAGCACGCUUAGGCGUGUGACUGCGUACCUUUUGUAUAAUGGGUCAGCGACUUAUAUUCUGUAGCAAGGUUAACCGAAUAGGGGAGCCGAAGGGAAACCGAGUCUUAACUGGGCGUUAAGUUGCAGGGUAUAGACCCGAAACCCGGUGAUCUAGCCAUGGGCAGGUUGAAGGUUGGGUAACACUAACUGGAGGACCGAACCGACUAAUGUUGAAAAAUUAGCGGAUGACUUGUGGCUGGGGGUGAAAGGCCAAUCAAACCGGGAGAUAGCUGGUUCUCCCCGAAAGCUAUUUAGGUAGCGCCUCGUGAAUUCAUCUCCGGGGGUAGAGCACU